RNAcentral lists this ribosomal RNA (143 nucleotides) under Listeria monocytogenes. RNAcentral describes it as "partial 16S ribosomal RNA". It matches the Rfam family "Bacterial small subunit ribosomal RNA", at positions 1 to 138 of the family's 1533-position model. Lineage: Bacteria; Bacillati; Bacillota; Bacilli; Caryophanales; Listeriaceae. The record is from RNAcentral.
UUUAAAGAGAGUUUGAUCCUGGCUCAGGACGAACGCUGGCGGCGUGCCUAAUACAUGCAAGUCGAACGAACGGAGGAAGAGCUUGCUCUUCCAAAGUUAGUGGCGGACGGGUGAGUAACACGUGGGCAACCUGCCUGUAAGUU